CAGUCGCCACGGUAAUACGUAGGUGGCAAGCGUUGUCCGGAACUAUUGGGCGUAAAGGGCUCGCAGGCGGUUUCUUAAGUCUGAUGUGAAAGCCCCCGGCUCAACCGGGGAGGGUCAUUGGAAACUGGGAAACUUGAGUGCAGAAGAGGAGAGUGGAAUUCCACGUGCAGCGGUGAAAUGCGUAGAGAUGUGGAGGAACACCAAUGGCGAAGGCGACUCUCUGGUCUGUAACUGACGCUGAGGAGCGAAAGCGUGGGGAGCGAACAGGAUUAGAUACCCCCGUAGUCCCUGUCUCUUAUAC
Molecule: ribosomal RNA, 301 nt
Filed under: uncultured bacterium
Lineage: Bacteria
Description: partial 16S ribosomal RNA
Rfam family: Bacterial small subunit ribosomal RNA
Source: RNAcentral